This 253-nucleotide ribosomal RNA is filed under the name uncultured bacterium. RNAcentral describes it as "partial 16S ribosomal RNA". It matches the Rfam family "Bacterial small subunit ribosomal RNA", at positions 524 to 776 of the family's 1533-position model. The record is from RNAcentral.
UACGGAGGGUGCAAGCGUUGUCCGGAUUUAUUGGGUUUAAAGGGUGCGUAGGCGGCCCGUUAAGUCAGCGGUGAAAUCCCGGGGCUCAACCCCGGAACUGCCGUUGAUACUGGCGGGCUUGAGUUCGGUCGAGGCGGGCGGAACUGGCGGUGUAGCGGUGAAAUGCAUAGAUACCGCCAAGAACCCCGAUUGCGUAGGCAGCUCGCUGGGCCGAAACUGACGCUGAGGCACGAAAGCGUGGGGAGCGAACAGG